RNAcentral lists this ribosomal RNA (484 nucleotides) under uncultured bacterium. Its description in RNAcentral is "partial 16S ribosomal RNA". It matches the Rfam family "Bacterial small subunit ribosomal RNA", at positions 30 to 507 of the family's 1533-position model. The record is from RNAcentral.
AUUGAACGCUGGCGGAAUGCUUUACACAUGCAAGUCGAACGGCAGCACGGGGGCAACCCUGGUGGCGAGUGGCGAACGGGUGAGUAAUACAUCGGAACGUGCCCGGUCGUGGGGGAUAACGUAGCGAAAGGUACGCUAAUACCGCAUACGAUCUGAUGAUGAAAGCUGGGGACCUUCCGCCCUCGCGCGAUCUGAGCGGCCAAUGGCAGAUUAAUGAGUUGGUGGGGUAAAGGCCUACCAAGCCGACGAUCUGUAGCUGGUCUGAGAGGAAGACCUGCGCAACCGGGACUGGAGAACGGACCAGAACCCUGCGGGAGGCAGCAGGCGGGGAUUUUGGACAAUGGGAGCAAGGCUGAUCCAGGCAUUACGCGUGCAGGCCGAAGGCCUUCGGGUUGUAAAAUGCUUUUGUAUGGAACGAAAAGGCUCUGGCUAAUACCUGGGGAUCAUGACGGUACCGUAAGAAUAAGCACCGGCUAACUACGUG